UAGCUUUGUCCUCAGUCAAACUUCUUCAAAUUUGACCAUGUUUAUAGAAAAUAUAUUAACAUUCUACAAUAUCAAAUAAGUAUACUAUGAAGAUAUAUAUGACAUAUUCAAUAAAACUAAUUUAAAGUUAUAAAUGCUGGUAGAUUUUUCUAUAAACUUGAUCAAACCCUGAGAAGUUUGACUUAGGACAAAGCUAU
RNAcentral lists this microRNA precursor (197 nucleotides) under Brachypodium distachyon (stiff brome). RNAcentral describes it as "MIR1435 microRNA precursor family". It matches the Rfam family "MIR1435 microRNA precursor family". Lineage: Eukaryota; Viridiplantae; Streptophyta; Magnoliopsida; Poales; Poaceae. The record is from Rfam by way of RNAcentral.